CACGUAGUUAGCCGGGGCUUCUUACUCAGGUACCGUCAUUUUCCUCCCUGCUGAUAGAGCUUUACAUCACGAAUGACUUCUUCACUCACGCGGCGUUGCUGCAUCAGGGUUUCCCCCAUUGUGCAAUAUUCCCCACUGCUGCCUCCCGUAGGAGUUUGGGCCGUGUCUCAGUCCCAAUGUGGCCGUUCACCCUCUCAGGCCGGCUACUGAUCGUCGCCUUGGUGGGCUUCUACCCCGCCAACCAGCUAAUCAGACGCGGAUCCAUCUUACACCACCGGAGUUUUUCACACUGAGCCAUGCGGCUCCGUGCGCUUAUGCGGUAUUAGCACCUAUUUCUAAGUGUUAUCCCCCAGUGCAAGGCAGGUUAUCCACGCGUUACUCACCCGUCCGCCACUAAGUUACGAAUCACUAGGUUUCAUCGUAACUCCGUUCGACUUGCAUGUGUUAGGCACGCCGCCAGCGUUCAUCCUGAGCCAGGAUCAAACUCU
Molecule: ribosomal RNA, 488 nt
Filed under: uncultured Lachnospiraceae bacterium
Lineage: Bacteria; Bacillati; Bacillota; Clostridia; Lachnospirales; Lachnospiraceae
Description: partial 16S ribosomal RNA
Source: RNAcentral